GAUGAACGCUGGCGGCGUGCCUAAUACAUGCAAGUCGAGCGAACAGACGAGGAGCUUGCUCCUCUGACGUUAGCGGCGGACGGGUGAGUAACACGUGGAUAACCUACCUAUAAGACUGGGAUAACUUCGGGAAACCGGAGCUAAUACCGGAUAAUAUAUUGAACCGCAUGGUUCAAUAGUGAAAGACGGUUUUGCUGUCACUUAUAGAUGGAUCCGCGCCGCAUUAGCUAGUUGGUAAGGUAACGGCUUACCAAGGCAACGAUGCGUAGCCGACCUGAGAGGGGUGUCGGCCAAACUGGAACUGAGAAACGGCCCAGACUCCUACGGGGGGCAGGAGUAGGGAAUUUUCCGAAAGGGGCGAAAGCCUGAGGGAGAAACGCCGGGGGAGGGAUGAGGGUCUUCGGAUCGUAAAACUUUUUUUUUGGGGAAAAAAAAAUUGGUAAGUAACUAGGCAAGUUUUGAGGGAACCAAAUAAGAAAGCCACGGUUAACUCCGG
This 496-nucleotide ribosomal RNA is filed under the name uncultured bacterium. Its description in RNAcentral is "partial 16S ribosomal RNA". It matches the Rfam family "Bacterial small subunit ribosomal RNA", at positions 28 to 506 of the family's 1533-position model. The record is from RNAcentral.